GGUGGCAUGGUGAUUAAGUGCUUGGCUGCUAACCAAAAGGUCGGUGGUUCAAAUCCACCAGCCACUC
RNAcentral lists this transfer RNA (67 nucleotides) under Loxodonta africana (African savanna elephant). The stretch from base 9 to 67 matches the Rfam family "tRNA". From Rfam's summary of the family: Transfer RNA (tRNA) molecules are approximately 80 nucleotides in length. Their secondary structure includes four short double-helical elements and three loops (D, anti-codon, and T loops). Lineage: Eukaryota; Metazoa; Chordata; Mammalia; Proboscidea; Elephantidae. The record is from Rfam by way of RNAcentral.